UAUAUCAGGCAUUAUGUAUGGCCAGCUAAUUGUUGAUAUUACAAAGCGGAUCGAUGAAAGCCCAAACUGAUCGAUAAUUGUCAUACUUUCAAUGUACUUUUUUAAACAAACUAGCCCUUUCCUUAAUUAAUAAUUUGACAUAUAGGCCAACCAAAUGGCACUCAACACAUCCACCUUUUUUCUUUCUUUGUAAAUGAUACCACACCCUGUCAUUUUAGGGUAAAGUUCGAUGUGCUUUACAUCACGCUCAUCAGUUCAGUAUUUGUACAGAGGGUUGCUACAGUAACGUUUGCAAAACAACACGCGGUCACUGUGAGUGGUGGUAACUUUACCGUCAUUGGUUCCACCAUAAAGAUCCGCAUGUUUAUUAAUUUCACUGGGUAUGACAGAGGCAUCAAACAAUUUGUUAAAAAUAAAUUAUAUUAAUCGCACAAAGAUAGCUAAUUUAACAGGUGUGGUGAUACUGAUGACUUUGGGCACAGAUGGUUUGUUUACAUAGCAGUCAGGAUAAUUAACGUCGCAGGCUAGGAUAAUUAACGUGGCAGGUUACGAGAACUAACGCAGCAGGAUAUGUGAAUUAAUGUAGCAGGUUAUGAGGUUAAGGUUAUGAAAAGAGUUAGGGUUAGCUAAUGCUUCUGUUGUCAACAGCUGUUUUCCCCGACGCGACCACUGGAUGGAGAUGUAGGCCUACCCCUAACCACAACCGAGGAAAUGUAAACAAACCAUAUGUGGCGACAAAUCACAGGGGAAAGGGCUAAACGAGAGGGUUUACUCAGCCCUAAAAAUGUCAGCGAAAAUAAAACCGCGAGAGUGUCGAAUUUGUUCAACGAAAAUGUAAUGGCUUAUUUUCUACAUGAGGUUUAUUUGAUCGAAUAGAAGUUUCGUAAUGCUUAAGUUGUUACGAGUAUACUGAUAUAAGUUGGACACGUGACAUCCCAGCAACUUUGAGAAAAAAAACACUUUAUAUUCGAGUUGUCUCGAGAUGGUUUAGCAUCGUAUUCAUGUAAUGUGGCUGUAGUAUAUAAUCUCUCGUCAUUGAAUACAGGCGGUUGAAAUUAACAACCCUCAUCGAAUAUUACAAACUAAUUACAAUAAAUAGAUGUAUCCACCAAUCCCAAAAAAUAGGCGGGAACUAGACAGCCAGCCGUGCCACUUUGUGAACAACGACUCCCAUUGUUAGGGCGGAGAAACAUGUAAUCUUGUCUAUUUCCCAAAAACUUUGGUUUGAUGAAAACAUCUCUGGUGGGAAAAUGCAUAUUGUUUUAGGUAGAUUUGAGGUUAUUCGCAUGAAAAUCUGCCCCAAAUUGGUUGGAAACCUAGCUAUAGACGUGAAACUAGUUAGGGAAUUAAGAAAAUGUAACGGUAGCUACGUUAUUCACAUGAAGAUAAUGAAAGGGUGAAUUCUGUUUAGUUGAAGAAGUUAGUAAUCUGAUUGACAGCCAGUAAGUAGUACGAGCUAGUGAGUAAAGUUAGUGUUCUCAGGUAGUUAGCUAGGCAACUGUUGUGGCAAUGACUUCCAGAGGUCGAGGAACCCAAAAACCAAACAUAUCUGGUACAAAAGGAACUCCACGCAAUGCUAUAUCCAGUUAUAAAGUCGGAUACACCUGGAACCAAGGUGGAAGACAAGGAGCCGAGAAUAAGGUCUCACAUCGCAGAGUGGGGCUGGAAGGAUGAGUGGACAGCUAGGAGGGAGUUGAGGCUCACCGUGAGGGCAGAGUGCCAUUACAGCAGUAAGGCUGGCAGGGCAUGUUGUGUCACAGCAGUAACAAGAGUUACUCCUGUAUGCCAGCUGAGAGGCGGUGUCUGCGUGUGGCUUGGGAUAGCUGGGAAGUGUACAUGAGAACGAAACACAGGAUGCAAGAAUCUGCUCUUCAGUUCCAGAAACUCACAGCUCUACGUUGGGUGUGGACUAUGUGGCAGACUGGGAUGCGGAGGAGAUAUGAUGCAUGUGAUAUGGAGGACCAAGCACUGGGCAUCUGACUACAUAGUAAGGCACUACGUUCAUGCCUGGAUAAGCUACGUUCACCUCCGCCAAGCUAAGAGGAAACCACAAGCUGUUGCUGUGCGAGCCUGGCAACUCUGCUUGGUCCUGAGGUAUUGGUAUGUGUGGAGAUGUGGACUACAGAGAGAGGUGGACAGAGAGCAGGGUGUUGACCAUCUGGCACAAUGCAGCAUACAGCGCAGGCCACUGGAGCGCUGAAGACACUAUCCUACUACACACACACACUGACCGAUGUGAAGUCACACACUAUUGCAAGAACAACAUUAGCAAUCCUCACCUUAUGGUAAACUUCAUGUGCCCUCAUUCACCUCAACAUCAUACUUCGGAACAUAUUGCAAGAAGAUUAAGUGAAUUUCCUGAGCUUAUGUGCAGAUGUGGAGCUGUGCAUGCAGGAGUCAGAGAGAUCAGGCAGCAGCAAGUUAACACCAACACCGCCAUCUAUUGCACGCUGGCCUGAGAAGUCUGGCCCUUAGUAUCGCUCAGGGACUCAUCGACUCAACAAGAACAUCGCUGUCCAGCGUCAUCAUCGCACUGCAGGUAUUGGAUACUCUGGCAGCAACGUCUGGAGGAAGCUGAAGAUGGGGUACUUCAGACACAGAUUACACACACCCACUACAGGGUCUGGAGCGUCGUCCUGAGGCCUGGUUUGCGAACCACAUCUUUCCACAGUGUCUGAACUCCUGGGUUGAGUUUACCUGCCAGAGGAAAAGGCACAGGGAGAGAGGAGAGAAAGGAGCAGAGGCUGGCUGAGAGGAUGAUAAAACAGCUGUCCCAACACACACACACACACCAUCAUGGUACAGCCAUACACCCAGACAGAGCCCGUGCUGUCCUACCCUUUGGGCCUUGCUGCAUGAAGAGAGGUUGUGUUUGAGUAGAGCCUGGCACCACUGGUAGUGGAGGGCGAGGAAGGGGAAACGGAGAGCCUCUGACAUACUGGACCACCAUACUGUAGUCCACAACACACUGAGCCAGUGGAAGGACGACUUCACCAUGAUCCGGGACAGGUACUGUACGACUGACUGUAAAAUUAUCAGUGAGGAUCAGGAUGAUAUUUUUCUUGAGGUUAUAAUGCACGUUAAUGACCUGCUACUCACGCUGACUGUUGUGGACCAACUGGUUCAGAAAGACGUAGACGGGUGUGUGUUCUUAACAGGAUUUGAUUAGACCCUUUUGAGAUUUUGGUUAAUCCUUCAUGCGUGUUUGGUUUUUAUGUAUCUCUUAAGGGGAAACCGAGAGGCGCAGGCAGGUCGACAUGGGGAAGUGUGUUGUGUGCGACGCGCCCUGAGUGGCUGGAGUGAGGUACAGCAUUUUACCAUAUACAGUAUAGUUUACCAUUAGCCUUGCUCUGUUUGGUUUCUCCAGAGUAAUCCUACAUUCUUUGACGUCAUUGUGUCCAGCAAAGAGGAGAGAAGAACAGCAGGCUGGGUCAGAUUGUCUUCAUGGCAUGAGUCAGACUUCUCAAACACACCUUUACAGGCCUGGAAGGCACAACAGAGCUCACAUCAUAUACAUCACGGAUGGGCUAUAUAUUUAUAUUUCUUUAGGAACUCUGGAUCUGAACGUUUGACAGUUAGAAUAGUAGAAUACAUAAGGUGCAGCUUCAAAAUUUGGUUGUGCAUCAUCAGUUUAUCUUCUGUCACUGACAGUCACUCAAUUGGCCCAGGUCAACUAAAAUGUAUUAGAUUGAUAAGUUAGCCUAGCGCCGCGCUAUUUAAACUUGUAUUUAUCAUGGUUGAAUUACCAACCAGGGGGCCCCCCAUUUGAUUUUGGGAGUCACUCACUCAUGUAUCAUAUUAAAAGCUGCUAACAUUUCUCUCUGCCCCAUGUCAAAAUAUGUAGCAUUGCAAGAAAUUAACUUUAAAACUUAAACAACAACAAAAAUCGCACUGCUUUCAAGAGGGGGGGGUGCUAAAAUGUUUUGCUCGCGAGGUGGGGCCCCGCCAAAAGGCUAGGGCCGGCUCUGACUGCAUGUGUUGGUAUGGAUGUGUGUAUGCACCCCUCAAACUUGCCCGUCCCUAUUAAUAUGUUAACUGUUCUGAAUGUUGUUAGUUAACAUUUCUAUUGUUCAUUCAUUUGGUCAUCAUGUUCCGUCUGACCUGAUUGAUGCUCCUCGCAGAAUAGACUCCACCCUGCUUUGUUUGUCCGAGGGGACGUGCUGUCUCUCUCUGCCUAUGAUCCCCUGUGGUGGCAUCACCUCCAGACACAACAGGUCGAUGAGCUUGUAGAGGAGCGCUACAGCCUGCAUCAUCAUGACUUCCUCCUGGAUCAACCCAAAUGGAUCCACCGUCUCAAUCUCUUUAUCCGCCGUCUCUUACUUGUUAAUUUUGGUCAUCUUACUGACAGACACUUGUAUUACGUCUUCCCGGGAGGGUUCUGCGUGUGUGGAAGGAGACUGCAGCCCCGUUGGCAGCAGCCAGGAGCAGUGAGAAGAGGGCAGAGAACCACUACCGGCACUGUUCAGGUUAAGGUGUUAGAGCAGCUCUAUCUAUUACCUAUGAUAAAGUCUAAGGCUUCAUUGAACGUUUUAUAGAAGCUCAAUGACUUGGCUUCUAAUUUAUUUCUACUGCUUCGUAUGUUAUCAGUACUGUUACCACGACUGAUUCUGGCUGCAACUACUGCUCAAGUCAGUGUGAAAUACUCACCAACAAAUGUCAUUUAUUUUCCUAUAGGUGCUGUUGGCAUGGAGGAAAGCCACAUCCCGUGUCAAAAUGUCACCGACAGUGAGCAGGGCUCCGAGUCACAUGGAUAAAGUGAAACAGCAGGGGACUUUCAGGAGUUGGCGGGAGCGAAGCAGAGCGGUUGUGGAGGAGAGUACAGGCAUGGAGAAAACCAAAAGCCACCACUCUCUUCUUUGCAGUAUGUUCAGAUUGUGGACUAUGUACCUGCAGCAUCAGCAGAGCAUCAGCAGAGCUAUAAGGUGAUGCGAGAAACGGGACACUCGAUGUUGAGACGGGCUGCCUCCAGGUGGUAAGGCUGCAGCACAGAAGGAGAGAGGCUGAGCAGACAGAACUGGCCCUCUGGCACUGGUCCCUCAGUCUGCAGGCCAAGGUGCUGGAGGCUGUGGGUUGCGGAGCAGCACCAGAAGCAGGAGAGGCUGCCCAGUUCUAUAGAGACCAGCUUCUGAGGGAAGGGGAAGCCCACGCCGCUCACAUGGGCAGCUUCUGCACCAACAUAGCACUGCACAGCCAGGAGCAGAGUUUGCGGUGUCUCCAGGGGUGGUGCUGCAGUGGAAACAGACAGCAGUGAGGGUGGCGGUGCGUGCUUCCAGAUGACAACCACGACGGCCUAGAGUUCUGCUAUACUCCCCGGUCAAAGAGCUGCUACCACCUGCAGCUCCUCUACCACCUCCAACCCAGGUCCCAGUGACAGCGAGCCUCCACCCUGCUGCAGCCUCCCUCCCCAUCAGUCCCGUACUGGCACGGCCAGCGCCCCCAUCUCAGUCUUCCAACAACACCACAUUAUGGAUCAGUAGACCAGACUGCGCCCCCCUCCUCAUUCAUGACCACCCACACUCAAACUAAGGUAGCGGUUACUAUAUUCCAAAAACGCAUGUAGUGUGUGUGUUUGUUUUUUUGAAUGAGAUUUUUUUGUUCAUGCAAUAUAAAAAUAAAAAAAAUCUAGCUAAGGCAGCCUAGGGGCUCAUGGGUCAGACUCCUCACUACUGCCCC
Salmo salar (Atlantic salmon) is the source of this 5673-nucleotide long non-coding RNA. RefSeq lists it as uncharacterized. The record is from RefSeq and is a predicted model, not a curated record. Lineage: Eukaryota; Metazoa; Chordata; Actinopteri; Salmoniformes; Salmonidae.